This 690-nucleotide long non-coding RNA is filed under the name Fukomys damarensis (Damara mole-rat). RNAcentral describes it as "lncRNA (ENSFDAG00000032515.1)". Lineage: Eukaryota; Metazoa; Chordata; Mammalia; Rodentia; Bathyergidae. The record is from RNAcentral.
CUUCAACCGACUAGCCUGCUGGCCCCACUUGCCUAGGACGGAUGAGAAGGACCACUGUGAUGUCACCUGUUCGUGAGGGGCAGGCUGGGAGCCAGGGCAAGGGGCCCAUGGGGAGGGAGGAGAAGGCUGGGCUUCACCUCUUUUUCCAUCAGCAGACUCAACCUUCAUCUCAGUCAUAGACUGAGCCAGGGCCUUGGCUCUAAGCUGAUCCCUGAUUUUGCUUACACUCUCAUCUCUGAGCCUGGAUCACACAACCAGAGAGCACUCAGAAUUGGCCCCCUGACUGAGUCCACAUCCAAGUUACAGAUGGAGUUUUAUGCCAGUUUUAGCUCGAGACCCGAGUGCAGUCACACACUGAAUCCUGGCUGCCGCCUCAGACUCACCCAGGAUCCCUAUCACAUUUUGCACCCCGACCCUGGCUGGCUCCCCUCAUGGCUCUACUGAGUCUUUCCGCAUCUGGCAUUGUUCCCAAGAAAGGGCGGGAAUGAGGAUGGACCAGAGACGGGCUGACAAAGACCCCAGACCGUGUGUGCCCAGUGUUUCAGCCUCGCUCCCUCAUGAUAACUCCUUGUGGAAGGUGGGGCCACCAUCCACGCAGAGUGACAGCCUGAGCCCAGCCGGAAGCACCUCCCGGACAACUCAUCGUCACAUGGGACAGCGGGCCCCACACUGCUCCCCCUCCCUCCGACA